Molecule: long non-coding RNA, 2404 nt
Organism: Lynx canadensis (Canada lynx)
Lineage: Eukaryota; Metazoa; Chordata; Mammalia; Carnivora; Felidae
Source: Ensembl
AUGAUGGACAGAGGGCUCUCCCAAGAUUCCUGCCUAGAGUGGAAAAAGAGACCUAAAAGCCAAGAGUCACCACCAACAGAGGCCUUUUCUGGUAAAGAGUUACCAAGCAGCAGAGUGAACCUGACAAGAUCCACAGCGGGUGAUUGCUGGCCUUCUACCCGAGCAGACAGUCGGGAGUCUGGGGAUGAGCCAGAGAAGCAGAAGAUGCAUGACGGCAGCUUGGGGUCAGUGGAACGUGAACAAGGGCAAGUAGUGACCCAGGAUGGGGACUGGGGAAAUGCUGAAGUUGUGGGAAAAUACAGCUUCAAUUCAGACUUUCUUUCUGCACAGAAAUUUCUUGUCAAAGAAUAUUUCCGUCAAAUUGACUCAGUUCAAAGCUUCCAGCAUAAUUUUGUUUUAAAAAAUUGUCAGGAAAUCUUGGUAGUGAAGAAAGCUUAUAAAGGCAAUCCACGUGGAAAAGCCUUAGGAAAUCUGUAUAAAUUGAGCAUGGUAAAUAUACCAACCAGAGCAUAUACCUUUCUACACAUGAGAUUAUUAAUGUAGAAAAUAAACCCUAUGGCUUUAAAGAAAGUGGAGAUUUUUUUACCCAUAGCUCAUGCUUCUCUCACUUCGUGAGAACUCAUACUAAGGAGAAACCCUAUGAAUGUAAUGCAUGUGGGAAAGCCUUUAAGAAACUUUCAUCUCUUUCUUACCAUCUGAGAGAAAGCCUAUGAAUGUAAUGAAUGUGGGAAGUCUUUCUGGAAGAGCCUUUACCUCAUUUUGCACCAGAGAACUCACACUGGUGAGAAACCUCAUGAAUGUAAUAAAUGUGGAAAGUCUUUUAGCCAUAAUUCUUACCAUAAUGUACACCAGAGAAUUUAUACUGGAGAGAAACCCUAUAAAUGUGAUGAAUGUGGAAAAUCCUUCAGUGGAAGGUCUAAUCUUAAUGUGCAUAAGAGAACACAUACUGGAGAAAAACCCUAUAAAUGUGAUGAAUGUGGAAAAGCCUUCAGUCACAACUCUCACCUUAAAGUUCACAAGAGAAUCUAUACUGGUGAGAAACCAUAUAAAUGUAAUGAAUGUGGGAAAAACUUUCAGUGUUCAUUUAUCCUUCACUCAGCGUAAGAGAACACACACUGGAAAGAAACCAUAUAAAUGUCAUCAGUGUAUGAGAGCUUUCAGUCAAGGUUCUAACUUUAUUGGGCACCAAAGAACUCAUGCCAGAGGAAAAACACUACAUAUUUCAUUUUAAUAUAUAAAAAUUGUACACAUACAUUUAUUAUUUAAAAAAAAAUUUUUUAAUGUUUAUUUAUUUUUGAGAGAGAGACAGAGCAUGAGAGGGGGAUGGGCAGAGAGAGAGGGAGACACAGAAUCUGACCAGACUCCAGGCUCUGAGCUGUCAGCACAGAGCCCGACAUGGGGCUUGAACUCACAGACCACGAGAUCAUUACCUGAGCUGAAGUUGGACGCUUAACCAACUGAGCCACCCAGGUGCCCCCCCAAAAUUGUACACAUACGUUUAAAUUUUGUGUCAUUCCCAGAGAAGGGCUGAACCUGGGUGGCAUUGGAUACCUUGGAAAAUUUUUCAUUAGUGAGAUCAAAGCUCUCUUCAAUAAUACUAAUUAAUAUGAUCACCCAGUGUGGGAAGGACUAUAGCUCAGAAGUCAAAAUAGGUUGAUGAUAUUUGACUGAAUGACUGAAUAGACUGUUCCAAAGAGUCAGAAUGCUAUUAUUUGCUUCCUUGCUCCCCCAGAGCUACAAGAUUGGGCUGCCUCUAAUGUGUUUCAGGAAGUCAUUAUAAACUAAUUAUGGACAGUGUGUAGAAACAUAGAAAAUUCCUAUAAUACAGUUCACCCUUGAAUGACACAGUUGUGAACUGUGCAGGUCCACUUCUAGAUGGGUUUUUUUCAACAAAUACAGUACAGUAUUGUAAAUGUACUUCUUCCUUAUGAUUUUUUUCUCUAGCUUACUUUAUUGUAAGAAUACAAUAUAUAAUACAUAUGACAUAUAAAAUAAGUGCUAACUGACAGACCGUUUAUAUUAUUGAUAGGGUUUCCAGUCAAUAGUAGGCUAUUAGUAUAGUUUUGGGAGUCAAAGUUAUAUGUGGAAUUUCAGCUGUGCAGGGAGUUAGCACGACAAUCUCCCACAUUGUUCAAGGGUCAGCUGCAGUGAAAUGUGCUGAAUUCUUGUGACUGUGUUGCCCUAUAUGUGCAUUUGGCUAAGGGCUUAGAAGGAAACAGAAAUGAACAUAGCUGAUUAAUGCGUCUUGGGAUAUUGUGUGGCUUCCUUUUAUGUUCAAAACUGCCACAAUUUUACAAUAAGUAAAAAGACAAAGAGGAGGGGUGCCUGGGUGGCUCAGUCGGUUAAGCGUCCGACUUCGGCUCAGGUCACGAUCUCGCGGUCCGUGAGUUCGAGCCCCGCGUCG